RNAcentral lists this unclassified non-coding RNA (411 nucleotides) under fungal sp. Its description in RNAcentral is "partial internal transcribed spacer region". The stretch from base 1 to 46 matches the Rfam family "Eukaryotic small subunit ribosomal RNA", at positions 1786 to 1831 of the family's 1831-position model. The record is from RNAcentral. Lineage: Eukaryota; Fungi.
AAGUCGUAACAAGGUUUCCGUAGGUGAACCUGCGGAAGGAUCAUUAACACGUAUCCAACGUUAAAAACACCCCUGUGAACCCGUUAAUCUUGCUCCUCACGCCCUGCACGCCUAGCAAUCCCUGGUCUGACGUGACGCGAAGAAUGGUAUUGAUACUCCAUCUGCGUGGGAUGACAUGCGACGUAGCAAAUCACUUGGCUCCCCAAGCAACCAUGUUUCUAAAAGCGGCUCAUGGAAGCGUAAGGAGACGCUGUAACGUUUUGCUGUAGGCCAACACGGCCGGCAAUCCAAGUGGUUGUACUUCGGUACCCUCACAUCGGCACACCACCGAUGAUAUGUCAAUUUCGCGAAUGGACUAAAAGCCUCGCACCAAAAACCGAACAACUGUUAACAAUGGAUAUCUUGGUUCUC